This 20-nucleotide ribosomal RNA is filed under the name Pseudosagitta maxima. RNAcentral describes it as "partial 5.8S ribosomal RNA". Lineage: Eukaryota; Metazoa; Chaetognatha; Sagittoidea; Aphragmophora; Sagittidae. The record is from RNAcentral.
AUAACUGCAGACGGUGGAUC